This 650-nucleotide ribosomal RNA is filed under the name uncultured bacterium. RNAcentral's name for it is "bacterial SSU rRNA". It matches the Rfam family "Bacterial small subunit ribosomal RNA", at positions 81 to 766 of the family's 1533-position model. The record is from RNAcentral.
GUGGACUUCGGGUAGUGGCGCACGGGUGCGUAACGCGUGGGAACCUGCCUUUAGGUUCGGAAUAACUCAGAGAAAUUUGAGCUAAUACCGGAUAAUGUCUUCGGACCAAAGAUUUAUCGCCUUUAGAUGGGCCCGCGUUAGAUUAGAUAGUUGGUGGGGUAACGGCCUACCAAGUCGACGAUCUAUAGCUGGUCUGAGAGGAUGAUCAGCCACACUGGGACUGAGACACGGCCCAGACUCCUACGGGAGGCAGCAGUGGGGAAUAUUGGACAAUGGGCGAAAGCCUGAUCCAGCAAUGCCGCGUGAGUGAUGAAGGCCUUAGGGUUGUAAAGCUCUUUUACUAGGGAUGAUGAUGACAGUACCUAGAGAAUAAGCUCCGGCUAACUCCGUGCCAGCAGCCGCGGUAAUACGGAGGGAGCUAGCGUUGUUCGAAAUUACUGGGCGUAAAGCGCGCGUAGGCGGCUUAUCAAGUCAGGGGUGAAAUCCCGGAGCUCAACUCCGGAACUGCCCUUGAAACUGGUUGGCUAGAAUAUUGGAGAGGUAAGUGGAAUUCCGAGUGUAGAGGUGAAAUUCGUAGAUAUUCGGAAGAACACCAGUGGCGAAGGCGACUUACUGGACAAUUAUUGACGCUGAGGUGCGAAAGCGUGGGG